UGUUUGAUGUUCUAACGUGGACCCGUGAUCCGGGUUGCGGACAGUGUCUGGUGGGUAGUUUGACUGGGGCGGUCUCCUCCUAAAGAGUAACGGAGGAGCACGAAGGUUGGCUAAUCCUGGUCGGACAUCAGGAGGUUAGUGCAAUGGCAUAAGCCAGCUUGACUGCGAGCGUGACGGCGCGAGCAGGUGCGAAAGCAGGUCAUAGUGAUCCGGUGGUUCUGAAUGGAAGGGCCAUCGCUCAACGGAUAAAAGGUACUCCGGGGAUAACAGGCUGAUACCGCCCAAGAGUUCAUAUCGACGGCGGUGUUUGGCACCUCGAUGUCGGCUCAUCACAUCCUGGGGCUGAAGUAGGUCCCAAGGGUAUGGCUGUUCGCCAUUUAAAGUGGUACGCGAGCUGGGUUUAGAACGUCGUGAG
Molecule: ribosomal RNA, 415 nt
Filed under: Shigella sonnei
Lineage: Bacteria; Pseudomonadati; Pseudomonadota; Gammaproteobacteria; Enterobacterales; Enterobacteriaceae
Also listed under: 2 other names
Description: partial 23S ribosomal RNA
Rfam family: Bacterial large subunit ribosomal RNA
Source: RNAcentral